UUGGAGGGCAAGUCUGGUGCCAGCAGCCGCGGUAAUUCCAGCUCCAAUAGCGUAUAUUAAAGUUGUUGCAGUUAAAAAGCUCGUAGUUGAACUUCGGGGUUUACCCAUUGGUCAGGCUUUAUUGUCUGCACUGGUGAGAUGAAUCUCUACCUUCUGAGGAACUUUCAUGCCAUUUAUUUGGUGUGAUGGGAAAUCAGGACUGUUACUUUGAAAAAAUUAGAGUGUUUAAAGCAGGCUAACGUCUGAAUACAUUAGCAUGGAAUAAUGAAAUAGGACGGACUGAUUCUAUUUCGUUGGUUUCUAGGAUCACCGUAAUGAUUAAUAGGGAUAGUUGGGGGCAUUAGUAUUCAAUUGUCAGAGGUGAAAUUCUUGGAUUUAUUGAAGACUAACUACUGCGAAAGCAUUUGCCAAGGAUGUUUUCAUUAAUCAAGAACGAAAGUUAGGGGAUCGAAGACGAUCAGAUACCGUCGUAGUCUUAACCAUAAACUAUGCCAACUAGGGAUCGGACGAAGUUAAUUUUAUAAUGACGCGUUCGGCGCCUUACGGGAAAC
RNAcentral lists this ribosomal RNA (551 nucleotides) under uncultured Glomeromycotina. RNAcentral's name for it is "SSU rRNA". It matches the Rfam family "Eukaryotic small subunit ribosomal RNA", at positions 548 to 1098 of the family's 1831-position model. The record is from RNAcentral. Lineage: Eukaryota; Fungi; Glomeromycota.